GCCUUCGUGGUGUAGUGGUCAGCACGCUCGACGCGUAACCGAGAGGUCCGCGGUUCGAUUCCCGGCGAAGACG
RNAcentral lists this transfer RNA (73 nucleotides) under Stegodyphus mimosarum. It matches the Rfam family "tRNA". From Rfam's summary of the family: Transfer RNA (tRNA) molecules are approximately 80 nucleotides in length. Their secondary structure includes four short double-helical elements and three loops (D, anti-codon, and T loops). The record is from Rfam by way of RNAcentral. Lineage: Eukaryota; Metazoa; Arthropoda; Arachnida; Araneae; Eresidae.